Molecule: ribosomal RNA, 451 nt
Filed under: uncultured bacterium
Lineage: Bacteria
Description: partial 16S ribosomal RNA
Rfam family: Bacterial small subunit ribosomal RNA
Source: RNAcentral
AACGAACGCUGGCGGCAGGCUUAACACAUGCAAGUCGAACGGGUGUAGCAAUACAUCAGUGGCAGACGGGUGAGUAACACGUGGGAACCUUCCUAGGGGUACGGAACAACUCAGGGAAACUUGAGCUAAUACCGUAUACGUCCGUGAGGAGAAAGAUUUAUCGCCCUUAGACGGGCCCGCGUCGGAUUAGCUAGUUGGUGGGGUAACGGCCUACCAAGGCGACGAUCCGUAGCUGAUCUGAGAGGAUGAUCAGCCACACUGGGACUGAGACACGGCCCAGACUCCUACGGGAGGCAGCAGUGGGGAAUCUUGGACAAUGGGCGCAAGCCUGAUCCAGCCAUGCCGCGUGAGUGAAGAAGGCCUUCGGGUUGUAAAGCUCUUUUGCCAGGGACGAUAAUGACGGUACCUGGAGAAUAAGCCCCGGCAAACUUCGUGCCAGCCGCCGCCGUAA